Molecule: ribosomal RNA, 253 nt
Filed under: uncultured bacterium
Lineage: Bacteria
Description: partial 16S ribosomal RNA
Rfam family: Bacterial small subunit ribosomal RNA
Source: RNAcentral
UACGAAGGUCCCAAGCGUUAUCCGGAUUUAUUGGGUUUAAAGGGUGCGUAGGCGGGUUAUUAAGUCAGUGGUGAAAGCCUUCAGCUUAACUGAAGAAUUGCCAUUGAUACUGAUGAUCUUGAGUAUGAUUGAGGUGGGCGGAAUGUGUCAUGUAGCGGUGAAAUGCUUAGAUAUGACACAGAACACCAAUUGCGAAGGCAGCUCACUAAGUCAUAACUGACGCUGAUGCACGAAAGCGUGGGGAGCAAACAGG